Molecule: long non-coding RNA, 4196 nt
Organism: Drosophila ananassae
Lineage: Eukaryota; Metazoa; Arthropoda; Insecta; Diptera; Drosophilidae
Exons: 2
Source: RefSeq, a predicted model, not a curated record
CAAGUUGGAUUCGUUGCGUCCUGUGUGUGUCCUGUAGCCAGCUGUAACCUGUGCUCCUGGGGGGCGCAACCAACAGCAGUACCAGCCGCAGCAGCAACUUUCGAAGCAGCAGCCAGGAUUUUUCCAAAAUCAAAUAAAAAAUCAAAAAUAAUAAAGUGUAAAAAAUAAGUGCCAGAACAAAUAGUUCAAAAAAGAACAGUUUCCCACUAAAAAAAAAAGUCAAGACUGGAAAGGACAUCAUGGUGUUAAUCCUUUAGACAGUAGACCUAUAGCGCCAUCUAGCGACAGCUAGACUCACUAUCCCAUGGUAGCGAAAAUUAUGAUUUUUUUUGCGGCUUCUCUUUAAUGAGUUGCCGCUGCCAAAAGUAAUUUGCAUAAUUUGUGGACCGUGUCGGCGAGUUUUUCCCUUUUGUUGCUACAGUUGUUUAAUUCAUUAUUUAUUCGGCUGUCCGCUCAACACCUUCAACACAAGCAAUUACACUGGCAAUUACAAAAAAUGAAUUACGAACAGCCGACCUUGCAUGCAAUUAACAAACACACUGACACGGACACCCCAAAAACAAUGGCAUUUUUAAUUCACAUUUUGACAAUUGCAAACACAAACAUUAGUAAGUCUACUUGCUAAAAUUAAUUAAAGUGACAUUCGACUGAAAUUGAACAAGCCUGGUUAAUUACGAAAAGGACCUUUCACAAAACAAAAACGUUGCGGAAAUAAAUUGUAAAGUUGCAGAAGCGAACAGCGAAAAGCGAACAAAAAAAAACUUAAACAUAACACAAUGAAAUUCAAUUGAAAAUCAUUCAAUCAUUAAUAUGCAAAUUUUCUGCUGCCAUUACCCCGAUCUCCAACUCCUCGGAACUCCCUUCUCGGAUUUUCUUCUCAGCCCCCCAUCGUUUCAGGCGGAAAAUUUCAUUCUAAUUUGCGAUAUUAACGAAAUGGAAUUAACGGGAAUGGGACCAGGGUCUAAUGCCAUCCCACUCUGGCCUGGCCAGGAGAAGCGCAACAAGCGAUCACUGAUAAGGGUACUGAGAGUCUAGGUGAGAGCACGAAACCCACCACCCCACACACUCUCACUUUACUCUCACUACACACUCUCCCUCGCUAUCACUCUCCGCUCAGUCCGCCCGAGAGUGCCCUGACGAAUCGCCCGAUUCUUUCGCUUAUUACAGUUGUGGCGGCAUUCUCAUUUCGAGUUUCGUGGCGAGCGGACCGACGACCCGACAUGGCGGAGAGUGGAUCUACAUAAGAGGGGAGGGGUAUAGUGGCCCCAGGAUGUGCCGCCCCCUAACGGUCGGCAGCCUUGACGCAUGUGCUGCUGCCAAGUGGGAGCGAUAAAAGCGUUAUCAUAACGGGCCUUAAACGCGUUAAUCGAAACCAGCCGCCCCUCCUCCGCUCCACAGCCAUUCAGCAGCAAUUAAACGAUCCGAGGCCUCUAAUUGAAAUGCCUGAGAGCCAUUUGAUCAGCGGAAGGGGAGCACCGACGCCGGAUUGGAACCUCCAACGGGUGAGUGACUGAAUUAUCACCAUCUACUCCUUACUCAUCGGGCCCCAGUGCCACAUGGCCACGUCCACCCAUACCAGUGCAGUACCAGGGCCCGGAGCGGGCGAAGUAAUACCCAAAAUACAUACGCUUAUCGCUGAACAAAUUGCUCGGCGAGCUGAUAAGAAGGCCACAUAACAGAACUCUUACAGCGGAGAUAAGGCGGACAAAGAGGGUGCCGAGUGUGCCGAGUUGGGAUGAGUAUGUCAUUGUACGGCCCACUGGUAGUGACGUCUUCUGAGAGAUUAUCUCUCUCUCUCUCUCUGUCCAGAGCUCUUAUCUCUUUUAGAUCCUUGAGAUCCUUGUAGCAGAAACUGGCUUUUGAAAAUUUGUAAAUAAUUAAAAAGAAUUCAGAGCAACGGAUUUGUGAUAAAUGAUAUCCUGUUCUGAUGGUUCAUUAGCGUCCAGUGUCCUUGGAAACAGGAUAUUCGGGUUUGCCAGCCCCGGAGUGUUGCGGUGAACUUUGAACCGAACUAACUGCCGAACCGCAGCCGAAAAAUUGAACAGAACCAGUGUCCAUCUAAGAUACUUUUCGGCAGAGUUUCCUGUCCGUGUCCUUACACCCCUCCUCCCCCCUGCUGACUGCCUCUUCUGCCACUCCUGUGUCAUAAAUUUCGCUUUUAUCAUAUUAUUUAAUUUUGUUGUGUCUGCUUUGCGCCGCCUCUCCGCUGGGGCGGCGGAAGGAAAGCGCAAAAAAGCGAACAAACUGUGAGAUACACACAACAAACAUGCACACAGAUACUCACUAACACUAUCACACCCAUACGAAUGUGAUAUAAACACGCUGCCCCAGUGGGAGCAGCGCAAAUGAUAGCGACUGCGAACGUAUCUGUAUCUAUGCCGAAGUAUCUGUGAGUGUGCGAGUAUCUGCAACUGUGUGUGCUGGCAUGCCACAGCAAUAACAGUUAAUUUAUUCCAAUUAAGGGAUUUUCCUGUUGAAUAUGCGACUGUGAGUGAGUCCCUGCCCCCUUGCCUCCUGUCCCCCUGCCCCCUUUGCCAAAAUAUAAAUGUUAAGCCAAACACCCAGUAUCUCACCUCUUUUUUUUGUCGCUUUUUUCUGUCGAAUUGUUUGCUCGCCCCCGGGGACCCUGUCUGUUGUCUGUUUGUUGUUAGUUCUGUUGCUUCUGCUGUUGUCGCGCCACAUUUUUUCAUUAGAUUACGACACCCCAGCCCAGUCGCUCCCAGCCACAGAGUGGAAAAAAAUUAGCAACAUGUCCCUACCUUUUUCGAGUCCUUGCGGGACUAGCUGUCGGCCGUGUCCUUGGGCUAAUUUCGUAAGCCCCCUCGGCUAAUUUUGUUUAUGUUUUCAUUAAUUUCUACCUCCCCCUUAUGCCACAUGCCACAUCCUACAUCCGUCAGCGCGGGGCAUACAUUUUAAUAAAUUCCCUCGCCGAAGCCAAAACAAUUUCCAAACAGAUCGAAAGAGUUGGCGGGUCGCUGGGGCGGAAGCGAAAUUUAUGCGCACAUUGAACGCAUUGGCCCCUCAACCACCCCACACCCGCAGCACACACACAACACAACACACACUCAUUGCUUCGAUUAUUAAAAUUCUAAUUGAAAUUCAAAUGCGCGACGUUGUUGCCGACGCUUAUCGCUUAAGUGUCGGCGUUCCACAUUGCCUUCCCCAUGCCCAUGCCCCCUGGGCUCUGGCUCUGGGCUGUAGAGCUCUUGUGCCCCAUAUGCCGCCCCCUUUGUUGCCAGCCCCCCUCCGGCUUCCGCUAUGCGGGCGAUGCCAGGAAGUGGACAGUUAAGCAACCCAACUCGACCCGAAUAUGGGCAGGAGAUCAGGGGGCAGUAAAAACAUUAUUCAAAAAUAUUUCUCAUCUUGGUACUUGGUUUGAAAUUCAGACACUCACUCUUAGAUGGAGCCACCACUUCCUGUUCUUCUGCCUCACUCCGCCUUGAGAUCUAAACUCCAAUCUCCGCAUCAUUAGAUGCAAUUAAUCAAGCCCGGCCUGGUCAUGUGACGGUCUUCCAGCCUUCCUUGUAAUCUGUCAAAUUACUCAUGCAAAUCGCACGACGAGCAUGUGGCUGCGGUUCCAUCCCAUGUCCUGAUGUCCUGGUUUCGUCUUUCCAUCAAUUAGAUUGACUUUCCCGCCACCAUCUCUAUACACAGCCGGCUAUGAUUAAUCAGCGUCUUAAUCCAGAUACUACCCCUAUGCCAUCAGCCCGUACAUGCUGGGGCUGGAACGGUUUCUGUUCCAAUUGAUUGGCAUUUUCUCCAAGCCAUUUGCCUACCAAAUGAGUUCGGGAUCAAUUAUGCAGUCAGUAGACCCGCCAAACAAUGCCCUUCAAUUGAUGUCACCGAGCAGCCACUUAUCUGCAACUGCAGAGUGGCUUUUUUCCCCUUUUUUUUAUAUUUUUUUACUUUUGUAUCGCCACUCUGUGGGGACUCUAAUCUGUAGCGCUUGAAAUGGGAGCUCACUCGUGUGGCAUGUUGGCUAUCCGGCCGGGGUCUUAUCGAAAACCGCAACCCAGUCCCCGAGCUGCGACUCUGAAAUCUUGGGAAUUGGCCUUUAAUCUCGAUUCGAAGAAACCCAGAAAUGCCAGAAAUGUGAUUCCAGCUCCGCAUUCCAAUAUUUUUGCUGACUAAGAAAUGCAAAAAAAAAAAAUAAGUUAAAUAAAAAAUGAAACAAAGUCGGCAGAAUAAACACGAUA